Long non-coding RNA from Aegilops tauschii subsp. strangulata, 420 nucleotides. RefSeq lists it as uncharacterized. Lineage: Eukaryota; Viridiplantae; Streptophyta; Magnoliopsida; Poales; Poaceae. The record is from RefSeq and is a predicted model, not a curated record.
GUUCAGUUGAAGGGAUGGCCUGGAAUGGCAUUCUUCCGAGCGAAUAUUCUGCCCAGAUGCGGAAUGAAGUCAUACCCCGAAAACGGCCGGACCACGCGGAACGGCUGCCUCCCUCGCACUCGUCCUUAGCCCCGCAGCAGCUCGACGGAAGGACUCCAAGCAGCGGGUGCUCGACGGCCGGACUCGAACUGUGAAGAUGGUCAUGAAGAUGAACACAAGAAAAAAGAUGGUUAGGGGAGCUGCUGUUUUUGUUGCACUAGCUGCAAUGGCUGCUGUUUUUGAUGCUUUUGGGAAUUUCUUAUGUGAACUAUAUGGUUGUAUGUGCAACUUGUUGAAAAUUAUGUUCUGUGCUGUCAUUCAUGUGUUAUAAACUUGUCAAUAUCUAUUGUUAUGUUGUUUUUAAUCAAAUUACAAACGAAA